This 884-nucleotide ribosomal RNA is filed under the name uncultured bacterium. RNAcentral's name for it is "bacterial SSU rRNA". It matches the Rfam family "Bacterial small subunit ribosomal RNA", at positions 609 to 1504 of the family's 1533-position model. The record is from RNAcentral.
UUAACUCUGGAACUGCCAUCAAAACUUUUCAGCUAGAGUAUGAUAGAGGAAAGCAGAAUUUCUAGUGUAGAGGUGAAAUUCGUAGAUAUUAGAAAGAAUACCAAUUGCGAAGGCAGCUUUCUGGAUCAUUACUGACACUGAGGAACGAAAGCAUGGGUAGCGAAGAGGAUUAGAUACCCUCGUAGUCCAUGCCGUAAACGAUGUGUGUUAGACGUUGGAAAUUUAUUUUCAGUGUCGCAGUGAAAGCGAUAAACACACCGCCUGGGGAGUACGACCGCAAGGUUAAAACUCAAAUGAAUUGACGGGGACCCGCACAAGUAGUGGAGCAUGUGGUUUAAUUCGAAGAUACGCGCAGAACCUUACCAACACUUGACAUGUUCGUCGCGACUUUAAGAGAUUAAAGUUUUCGGUUCGGCCGGACGAAACACAGGUGCUGCAUGGCUGUCGUCAGCUCGUGUCGUGAGAUGUUGGGUUAAGUCCCGCAACGAGCGCAACCCUCACUUUUAGUUGCCAUCAUUUAGUUGGGCACUCUGAAAGAACUGCCAGUGAUAAGCUGGAGGAAGGUGGGGAUGACGUCAAGUCCUCAUGGCCCUUACGUGUUGGGCUACACACGUGCUACAAUGAUAUCUACAAAAGGAAGCAAGACGGCGACGUUAAGCAAAUCCUUAAAAGAUAUCUCAGUUCGGAUUGCACUCUGCAACUCGAGUGCAUGAAGCUGGAAUUACUAGUAAUCGUGGAUCAGCGUGCCACGGUGAAUGCGUUCCCGGGUCUUGUACACACCGCCCGUCACACCAUGGGAGUUGGUUCUACCUUAAGGCAAGGUUUCAAACCCUUGACCACGGUAUAGUCAGCGACUGGGGUGAAGUCGUAACAAGGUAGCCGUA